GAAAAAGAAAGAAGGCACAAGCGUUUUGGUUUUUCUCUGUCUCGUUUGUCUCUGUCUCGUUCGUUCUCUUUCUCUAGCAAAUAGCAAUCGCCCAUCACCAAACCAAACCGAUCUAAGGCUCUCAAAUCCGUCGCACCGCUCUCAGCCUCUCUCUCUCUCUCUCUCUCAGCGCAGACAGGUUUAACUGAAGAUGUCGCCGAGGAUUCUGGUGCUGUCUGUUUGUCAUGAUAAAAAAUUUCAACAUUUGGAGUUUCACAUUGUGGAUCUAGAGAACCAGAAAAUUCAUCGCAAUGUCUCACCUCCUUUGUUUAGUACUUCUGGAUUUACUAGGAUGUUGAGUUUGUGUGAGUCGAUCUAUAUUUUUGGUGGCUAUAGUACUUCAGAAGAUGUCGCUGAUAUUGACUCUUAUGUAUCCCAAAACCCCACGGAUACCUUUUACAUGGGCUCAGCUCAUAUGCGAUUAGCCGCCAGUGACUCUGUAGGGGAGUGGUGCAAACAUCCAAAGCCAAUUUUCGGACACCUUUUUGCCAACAGUACUUGCCUCCAUGGAAAGAUUUACAACAUGGGAUUCCAUGACCUUGAUCCGCAGUUGUUUGAUCCCACCUCUGAUUCGUGGGAGAGUAUAACUUUGCCUUCUGAAUUACAAGGCUGCUUCCUGUCCAUGUUUGCGAUGCCAGACCCUUCUCACGAUCGUAUCAUCCUUCACUUGGAAAGGGGCUCACUUCCAUCACCUUCUAUCUAUGCUUACUAUCCUAGCUCUGAUGAAUGGAAACUUAUUGUUUCCGAUUUUUCAGACUGGGAUCCGGUCUCAGCAGUUGCUGAUGGCGUGAUCUACUUUAAUUACUACAAAUGUCACACUCUCGUUGCCGCUUAUGAUUUGAAAAGCCUCAAGUGGUUGGACGUGCAUUUGUCAGAUACUGUUGUUGAUGGUUCUUAUAUACUAAUUAACCGCUUUAAGGAAUUGCUCUAUUUAGGUGACAACUCCUUUUGCUUGUCCGUUCACUCGCUUCAAAUCGCCAACUCAAACUCCAUUCGAGUGUUUUUCGUCAAGUUUACAAUUGAGCGGACAGAUUCAGUCAUUAAUAUCAUUCCCCAGUCAGCCAGCCACUUUAUCCUUCCACACACUUCCUACUUGCGUAACAUGAUCGCACUUUCUUAGGAUCUUGGAUAUGUUUGAUUGUUUGCAUGAUUCUGCAGUAAUUUUAUUCUGAGAACUACUGAAACCAGGAAAGGAGCAGCAAUUACGUUUGAGAACUCAGAACUCAACUCACGAUGAAGAUUGAAGAAGCAGAGUCCAGCAAGACAGCAAGUUUAAUAUUAGCCUGUGACUCUUUAGGCACUUUUUCUGUUGUUUUUAAACGUAAACUUAGCAAGCAACUCAAAUUUUAAUUUCCGGAUGUUUUAAAUUUGUGAUUGUGAACUAGCUAAGUGUAGCUGGUCAGUGACUUGUGGUAAACAUGAAUUUUUAGGAUGUUUUUCUGUGAUUCUAGUGAAUUUAAUUAAAUUAAUAAUCAAAUUUUUUUUUUUAA
Molecule: RNA transcript, 1529 nt
Organism: Trifolium pratense (red clover)
Lineage: Eukaryota; Viridiplantae; Streptophyta; Magnoliopsida; Fabales; Fabaceae
Exons: 4
Source: RefSeq, a predicted model, not a curated record